GGAAUCUUGCGCAAUGGGCGAAAGCCUGACGCAGCAACGCCGCGUGCGGGAAGAAGGCUUUCGGGCUGUAAACCGCUUUCAGUAGGAACGAAACUGACGGUACCUACAGAAGAAGGAGCGGCCAACUAUGUGCCAGCAGCCGCGGUGACACAUAGGCUCCAAGCGUUGUCCGGAUUUAUUGGGCGUAAAGAGCUCGUAGGCGGUUGAGUAAGUCGGGUGUGAAAACUUUGGGCUUAACCCAAAGAUGCCACUCGAUACUGCUUUGACUUGAGUUCGGUAGGGGAGUGGGGAAUUCCUUGCGUAGCGGUGAAAUGCGCAGAUAUAAGGAGGAACACCGGUGGCGAAGGCGCCACUCUGGGCCGAUACUGACGCUGAGGAGCGAAAGCGUGGGUAGCAAACAGGAUUAGAUACCCUGGUAGUCCACGCGGUAAACGGUGGUCACUAGGUGUGGGUCUCUACCAAUGAGAUCUGCGCCGUCGCUAACGCAUUAAGUGACCCGCCUGGGGAGUACGGUCGCAAGACUAAAACUCAAAUGAAUUGACGG
This 544-nucleotide ribosomal RNA is filed under the name uncultured bacterium. Its description in RNAcentral is "bacterial SSU rRNA". It matches the Rfam family "Bacterial small subunit ribosomal RNA", at positions 358 to 916 of the family's 1533-position model. The record is from RNAcentral.